GGGGCUUCCCCUCCAACCAGGAGGCCAAUCACAGAACGACACGUGUCGACAUCAGAAGCCAAUCAUAGCGCUACACGUGUCAACAUCGGAAGCCAAUCACAACACAACACGUGUCAAUGUCAGAACAAGGCUAGAAACUCUCUUCUAUAAAAGGAGAUCAUUCUCCCAAAAUAUUUCCUAUUGCUAUUUGUACUAAAUCAUUCACUCGUACCCACUAAAGGAGAGCUUGAACCUAUGUACUUGUGUAAACCCUUCACAAUUAAUGAGAACUCCUCUACUCCGUGGACGUAGCCAAUCUGGGUGAACCACGUAUAUCUUGUGUUUGCUCUCCUGUCUCUAUCCUUUUACAUACUUAUCCACACUAAUGAUCGGAGCAAUCUAGCAAAGGUCACAAACUUAAUACUUUAUGUUGUACCAAAGUCCUCACUGAUUUUGUGCAUCAACAAUCCUUAAGUCCUUACCUUUUUGCAUUGGUAAUGGAUGAGUUAACAUGACAUAUUCAAGAUGUUAUUCCUUGGUGUAUGCUUUUCGCAGAUGAUAUAGGGUUGAUAGAUGAAACUCAGGAAGGGGUAAAUGCGAAGCUUAACCUUUGGAGAGAAGUGUUGGAAUCUAAAGGUCUUCGCCUAAGCCGAUCAAAGACAGAAUAUAUGGAAUACAAGCGGGAUGGAUGAAGUGGAAGAGUGUAUCCGGCGUGUUGUGUGACCGUCGUAUGCCACUGAAGCUCAAGGGAAAAUUUUAUAGGACGACAAUAAAGUCGGCGAUGCUGUAUGGCACAGAAUGUUGGGCGGUGAAGCAUCAAUACGUACACAAAAUGGGUGUAGCGGAGAUAAGGAUGCUUCGUUGGAGGUGUGGGCUCACGAGAAAGGAUAAGAUUAGGAAUGAGUGAGUUGGACAUGUGCAAAGAAGGCCUACUGACGCUCCAAUUCGAAGAUGUGACUACGGGACAGAGGUUCAGGGCCGAAGGGGUAGAGGAAGACCUAGGAAAACUUUGGAAGAGACCCUAAGAAAAGACUUAGAGUACUUGGAUCUAACGGAGGACAUGUCACAAAACCGAGCGCAAUGACGUUCUAGGAUUCACAUAGCCGACCCCACUUAGUAGGAAAAGGCUUUGUUGUUGUUGUUGUUGUUGUUGUAUUCAAAAUUCAAAAUUAAAAUCAGAAUUUAUAUUAAAGGGUGAAAUGAGUAUAAAGAAAAAUCAACACAGGUCUUCUAUUGGGGGGCCAAAAAAUUGAGUGUGGUGUAAUAAUAUGAGAAUCACACUCCUAUAGUGGGCUAAAAUUAUGAAUGCAAUGAGAGUGAUUCUUAUUUUUAAGUUCAAUAUAUUGGACUCAUGAUGUAAUUCAUGGACAAUAAAUGAUCAAUUAUUUGAGGGGAGAGAGAAAGGAGAAUAACCAAUCAUAAAUUAGAGAAAAGAAAAACAAAUAAGUCCCACAAUUAAUAUAUAAAACUCGACUCUAUUAAAAUGCACACCAUUGCAAGGUUCUAAAAAAUGCUAGGCGCUAGUUGGGCGGUGGGCUAGCGCCUAGCGCCUAGGCGGCUAGGCGGCCUAGGCGAAUUUAGGUAAAUUUCUUAUGUAUUAUAUGAAUUAAUUAAAUUUACUAUAUAAAAUGUAAAUAAUUAUUGACUAAUAUGCUAUUUCUUAUAGAAGAACAUAUAUAUGAAUGUUUUAUAUACAUAUAUGAAAUGCUUGCCUAGGAAAAAAAAAAUAUUAUCUAAAUAAUUUAUAAUUUAUAUAAGAUAUAUAUAUACACACAUAAUAUAUAUCCCAAACUUUUAAAAAUAAAAAAGCCCACAUAGUGGGUGGUUUUCAUUGUUAAAACCAUCAAACCGUCCAUCACCCAUCCACCCAAGGUGGUUUUCACAUCACCUGUCCACAAAACCAUAAGAGUCCAUGGUUUUCAAUUUUAAAAUCACAAACCGUCCAUGCUCUUUCACAUCACCCAAAGUCCUCAACUUGCACACAUAUUGAAAUGUUACUCUAUCUCUCUCUCUCUCUCUCUCUCUCUCUCUCUCUCUCUCUCUCUCUCUCUUUUUCUAUCUCUUUUCACACUUUCUCUUCGCACUCUCUUCUUUGCUCUCAUCUUCGCCUUAUAAACAGACCGAUUUCGAGUCCCCAACAUCUUCGACAGCAGCAACACUUGCAUCGUCUCUUGUAAUGCUAAUUAUUGAGGCUCCAGAUGAGCCAACAGCUUUUGGCAAAUUCAUAUCUCCAGGUUGCAAGUAGAUUGCCUUUCUUUUGCCUCUGCUUCAUUGCCAUUUUCUUAGCAGAUCUUGAACAUCCUCGCUCUCAUCGUCUCCAGAUGUGGCUCGUGAUCCCCUAGCACGUCGCCUCCGUUCUGGGGAUGAUGAUUCUCUUUCACUGCUAUAACUUGGGACGUCAAUGAUGUCCCCUGCUGCGUUGCGGCAGUACUUGCGAAAUUUGCAGCGAGAUUCAAACCGCCUAGACUGCCGCCUAGCCUGCCUCAGGCGCCUAGGGAGCGCUUAGGCGGCCGCCUAUAUCCUCCCCGCCUAACUGAGCGUUUUGGUCUAAAUCGAGUCGGAGCUCCACUGCCUAGCGCCUAGGCCGAUUUUUAGAACACUGCACCAUUGUACUAGUAAUUUUAUUAAAACCAAACUCAGACUGCCUGAUUCCUUAUAUAGGAAUGAAACGCAUCUAAAUCACUGUACAAAGCCUUAGGUACACCAACCAACUAUUAAGUAUUUCAAAUAUAUGUAAACACAUGGUAUUUUUGUUAAAGAUUCACUAAGCCCGUUAAGACGUGUUGCAUAAUCUAUUCCAUUUUGUAUGGAAUAAAAAGAAAAAAUGUUUACCUUUUUCUUUCUUCUCUCCCUCAUCCAACCUCAUCCAAGAACCUUAAUUCACAAACCCUAGCUCUUUGCCGCCGGCCCUUCCUCUUGGUUGGGGUCGGUGGCAACCCUUUAGCUUUAACUUUUUUUGCAAUUUCUUCUUACCUUACUAUCUUUGCUUUCCUCUUAACUUGUUAAUUUAUGGUGAUUUUGUUCUUUGAGUUGAGUUUCACCUUCCUUUGAGAUUUGUCUCAAAUUCUCUGAGCUUGUCUCACUUUAUAGUGGUUCUCAUCUCAAAUAUGGGAUUUAAGCUUAUUUCGUCUCCAUGUUGUUCCUAGCUGCAAGUCAUUUUUUACCGACCCUGCUAGUCGAAUCAUCAAGCGUUUCCUCCAUGAAUCUCAUUUGGAGACAUGCUUUAGGUUUGGGUGACUCUUGAAGUACGUUUAGCAAUAUUUGGUAAGAUUAUGAGAGCGCUCAUGGCACGGAUGGCUUGCCCACCCCCAUUUUUCUUUUGUCUCUUAUGUUUGUUGACUCUACUUUGUUGGAAAUUUGAGUAGUUUGAGUAGAAAUUUCCUUGUCCCACAUUGGCCAUUCCCAAAAGAUUUUAUCACUUUAUAAGGUUUUGUCCUUUAAAGAAAGUGAUUGGAGUAAUAGGCAUGGAGACUAAAAUUGGGCUCACCCUUGGGGUUGGGCUUUGGGGUGUAAUAAUUAAUUGGUAAUUAAUAUAUAAUUAAUUAUAAUUAAUAUAUAAUUAAUUAUAAUUAAUAUAUAAUUAAUAUAUAUUUAAUUGUCAAAAGAUGGGCCUUGGGCCUUGGGGCUCUAAUAAUUAAAUUAUUUAAUUAAUUAUUUUUCGGAUUUACUUAAUUAUUUUUUAAUUAAAUUCGAAUUUAAUUAAUUAAUUAUUUUUUUAUGAAAAGACUCAUCCUUUCAGAUGAAGUCUGAGAGUUCUUUCUGAACACAGAGCAAAGCACCCUUCUGAAGAGAUGUCUCCCAACAGUCACACCCCAUUCUCAUACCUGUUGCAAACAGCAUCUAUCUGCUAUCAUACAUCUGCAUAGCAUUUAGAACACAGAAAUACUAAACUUCAUCUUCUACAUUCAUAAACCUUCUUACUGAGAGAACCACACUAAAUUCGCCAGAAGUUAAAUUUUCCGGUGCUGGAAUUUUAAACUUGAUCGUUGAAUCCUGGUGAAGCAGACGUCCGUAGAACUACAAGCACAGAGUAGGGACGAAAUUUCUGUUUCAAGGACAUUGCGGUACGCAAGCCUCGAUCUUCAAGUUGUCUGUUUUAUAAUUCAUAUUCUAGUUUAUAUUUUGUUAGUUUCUAUUGCAUUUAUUAUUUAUUAGCAUUAGCAUAUAAUAAAUUAUCACAGAGAUUGUUGACUUAUAUCCAACAAUCUUGAAACAGAAAAUUAUGGAUCAACAAUCUGUAAAUGUGAAUGGCGCUGUGCCAAAGUACUCAGAAAAGCCUGAGAAGUUCAAAGGUUUGGACUUCAAGAGAUGGCAGAAGAGAAGAUGUUGUUCUUCCUGACAAGAAAUGUUGUUCUCGACUGACAACAAUGAAUCUAAUGUUGUUAGAGAAAGAAGUCUCCGAGAAUCUAAUGAGAAUCCAGAGAGAGAGACUGUCAUGGCAAUUGAAGCUUGGAAUCAUUCCGAGUUUUGUUGUGCAGAAACUAUAUCCUGAAUAGUUUGGAUGACAAUCUCUACGACAUUUAUUCUCUGUGCAAGACAGCGAAGGAGUUGUGGGAAUCCCUGGAGAAAAAGUAUAAGAUUGAUGAUGACGGUUCAAAGAAAUUUGUUAUCGGUAAGUUUCUCAAAUAUACAAUGGUGGAUUCAAAAUCUGUUGUAUCUCAGGUCGAAGAAAUCCAGAAGUUGAUCUAUGAACUGCAUUCUGAGGGAUGCGAGAUCAAUGGGCAUUUCCAAGUUGGGGCGAUAAUCGAGAAAUUGCCAACUUCCUGGAAUGACUUCAAAAUUUAUCUCAAGCACAAGCGUCGUGAGAUGAAUAUAGAGGAUUUGAUUCUGAGGCUACGUGUGGAAGAAGACCACAGAAAGGCAGACCGUUCUGGAGGGUUUGCAGCCAUUGAAGCCAAUGCAAAUUAUGUUGAGGGAAGAAACUCCAAGGCUAAGCCGAAAAAGAAUAAGGCUCCUGCUCCGAAAACCAAGCAGUUUGUGCAAUCUGCCCUUGCUCCUAAAGGCAAGAAUCUGAAGAAGAUUAAGGGCGCCUGCUAUGUGUGUGGCAAAUCUGGUCACAAGGCACAAGAUUGUUAUCAUCGCAAGGAUGGAAAUCAUGGCCACGGAAACAACAACAACCAUGCUAACAUGGCAACCACCGAUGAAGAAUUGGCUGCUGUUGUGUCCGAGGUUAACAUGGUCUCAAAUGAGUGAAUGGUUGAUGGAUACUGGUGCUACAAAGCACAUCUGCGCUGACAGAAAUCUGUUCACAGAAUAUCACCCUGCUGCCCUUGGAGAAAAGCUGUAUAUGGGCAAUUCUGCCACAUCUAUUGUGGAGGGAUAUGGCAAGGUGGUACUUAAAUUCACAUCUGGGAAAAGUUUGACCUUGCUGAAUGUGCUGCAUGUUCCUGAAAUGAGGAGGAACUUGGUUUCUGGACCAAUUCUAAUUGCUAAGGGCUUUAAACUUGUAAUGGAAUCCAACAAAUUUGUACUUACCAAGGGUGGGAUGUUUGUUGGAAAGGGUUAUGUGGCUGAUGGCCUUGUGAAACUCAAUGUAAUUGCCAUUGAUGAUGCUAAUAAAAUAAAUGCUUCUACUUAUAUUGUUGAGUCUUCUAAUAUUUGGCAUGCUAGAUUAGGACAUGUUAAUUUUCGUUCCAUGCAUAGAAUGGUUAAAUUAGACUUAUUACCUAAAUUCGAAAUUGAUUUUAAUCAUAAGUGUGAAACAUGUACAGAAUCGAAAUUUGCUAAGCAAACGAGAAAGUCAAUUCUGGAAAGAUCAAAUGAAUUACUUGGAUUAAUUCAUAGUGAUCUUUGUGACUUUAAAUCCACACCAACUCGUGGAGGAAAGAAUUAUUAUGUCACUUUUAUUGAUGAUUGCAGUAAGUAUUGCUAUGUUUAUUUGAUUCAUAGCAAGGACGAAGCUUUGAAUAUGUUUAAGACAUAUAAAGCCGAAGUUGAAAAUCAACUUGAGAGAAAAAUCAAAGCACUUAGAUCUGAUAGAGGAGGAGAGUAUGAGUCUACUGCCUUCUCCGAUUUUUGUGCACAACAUGGAAUUAUACAUCAAACAACGGCUCCAUACACACCACAACAAAAUGGUGUUGCCGAAAGAAAAAAUAGAACAUUCAAAGAUAUGAUUAAUUCCAUGUUAAAUAGUUCUGGGCUUCCACACAGUUUGUGGGGUGAAGCUUUACUUACUGCAAAUACCAUAUUGAAUAAGGUUCCUCUAAAAAAGAUUGACGAGUCACCUUAUGAGAUAUGGAAAGGACAUAAACCCACUUAUAAAACCCUCAAAGUGUGGGGUUGCUUAGCAAAGGUGCAAGUUCCGUUACAAAAAAGAACGAAACUAGGACCUAAAACUAUUGAUUGCGUAUUCAUUGGAUAUGCAAAUAUAUGUAGUGCUGCUUAUAGGUUCCUUGUUGUGAAAUCUUCGAUUUCUGACAUACAUGUUAACACUAUAUUAGAAUCAGCGGAUGCAGCAGAAUUCUUUGAGGAUAUAUUCCCUUACAAAGAAAAGGAAUCUGGUUCUAAUACAAAGAGAGUUCAUGAUCAUAGUCAUGAUGAAGCCUCUUCUUCUGGUGUCCAAGGAAAUGAUGUGGAACCAAGAAGAGGAAAAAGAAUCAAAGUUUCUAAAAACUUUGGACCAGAUUUCAUUUCUUUCUUGUCCGAGAAUGAACCUAGAACUUUUAAAGAAGCAAGCAAUGUCUUCUUCUGAGGCUCCUUUAUGGAAGGAAGCAAUUAAAAGUGAAAUGGAAUCCAUUAUGGAAAAUAACACAUGGGAAUUGGUUGAUUUACCUCCCGGUAGUAAACCAAUUGGUCAUAAAUGGAUUUUCAAGAAGAAACUCAAGGCGGAUGGAACCAUUGACAAGUUCAAGGCACGUUUAGUAGCCAAAGGUUAUCGCCAAAAAGAAGGGUUGGAUUAUUUCGACACCUAUUCUCCAGUUUCUCGCAUAACGUCAAUUAGGACGUUAAUAGCGAUUGCGGCUGUAUACAACUUUGAUAUCCAUCAAAUGGAUGUAAAAACAACAUUUUUAAAUGGAGAACUAGAUGAAGAAAUAUACAUGGAACAACCUGAAGGGUUUGUGCUUAAAGGACAAGAAAGCAAAGUGUGCAAAUUAGUUAAGUCAUUAUAUGGACUUAAACAAGCACCAAAACAAUGGCACGAGAAGUUUGAUCAUACUUUGUUGACACAUGGGGUCAAAAUAAAUGAAUCUGAUAAAUGUGUCUACAUUAAGGGUAAUGAUAAAACUUGUGUUAUUGUCUGCUUGUAUGUGGAUGAUAUGCUCAUAAUGGGAAGCAAUAAAGAUGUAAUAAACAAAACAAAGAAAAUGUUGAAUUUCAAGUUUUUGACAUGAAAGACAUAGGUCAAGCCGAUGUCAUUUUAGGAAUUCAAAUUAAGAGAAAUAGAGAAUGAAGGAUAUGUCCUUACACAAUCCCAUUAUGCAGAAAAAAUAUUACGAAGGUUUGGUCAAUUUGACUGCAAACCUGCUGCGACUCCUUUUGAUGCUGGAUGCAAGUUGGAGAAAAAUAAAGGCGAUGCCAAAUCUCAACUUGAAUAUUCUCAAGUAAUUGGAAGUCUAAUGUACUUGAUGAAUUCAACUAGGCCCGACUUAGCUUAUGCAGUAAGUAGGCUUAGUAGAUAUACAAGUAAUCCGGCACAAGAGCAUUGGGAUGCUUUAGUAAGAGUGUUAAGGUAUUUGAAAAAUACACUUGACUACGGAUUACACUACACCAAAUAUCCACCUGUUGUAGAAGGCUUCAGUGAUGCCAAUUGGAUUUCUGACACUACAGAAUCCAAGUCGACAAGUGGAUAUGUUUUUACCUUGGGAGGUGCAGCAAUAUCUUGGAAAUCCUCUAAACAGAAAUGUAUAGCUCGGUCCACCAUGGAGUCUGAGUUUAUAGCUUUAGACUUGGCUGGCGAAGAAGCCGAGUGGCUCAAACAUUUUCUGGAGGAUAUUCCAAUGUGGCCAAAGCCGGUAACGGCUAUAUGUAUACAUUGUGAUAGUAUGGCCGCCCAAUCAAGGGCCAAAAGUCAUGUAUACAAUGGGAAGUCACGUCACAUCAGACGUCGACACAAUACUCUUAAGAAGAUGCUCUCCAAUGGAAUAAUAUCCAUUGAUUAUGUGAAGUCAAAGGAAAAUAUAGCUGAUCCUUUGACAAAAGGCCUACCAAGAGAGCAAAUAUUAUUUACAUCGAGGGGAAUGGGUCUUAAGCCAAUUCAAUGAAUCGAACUGGGCGGAAACCUAACCUAGCUGAUUGGAGAUCCCAUGGUCUAGGUUCAAUAGGCAAACUGGUUGAGUUUGAUUCAAAAGUUGAACACACAACUUACCCAUUCUUAUGAUAAAAUGUGUGUUGUCUGUUGACGUUUGAGGGGUUAUGUUUUAUACAUUUAAAUGACAUUAAUAUCUUGUUAUCAAGAGGAAUAUGGCAGACUAUUCUUAAUUAAUGUCACCUAUAUAGGAGUAAAUGGGGGCCACAUUUAUGAGAAUUGACAUGGCUAAAUUCUCUAAAGCUCCUAUGAAAUCCGGGAUCUGUUCAGGGCCAAAAUGAACACAACCGUAUGAAUUGACGUGUGGCAGCCAUGAUAUGUGUGUAGCAUAUUGUCUUGGUUUACUACUGCGGUGAACAGUUCAAGAUCUUCCACAUCCACUGCGUCACCAAGUAAACCCGAUAUGUUUUCACUAGGGUAAGUUCAAGUCCAAAAGACACUUCACCCGAUGCAUAUCAUGACUAUUCUCUCUCAGUUUUAGGCAGCCUAGUCACACAUUUGCAUUUACAUUUGCAUUCAAAUGUGGGGUCAUUGUUGGAGUUUGAAUGAAAUUUCAACUCAAAUGUGGGGUAUUGUUGGAAAUUUGAGUUUGAGUAGAAAUUUCCUUGUCCCACAUUGGCCAUUCCCAAAAGAUUUUAUCACUUUAUAAGGUUUUGUCCUUUAAAGAAAGUGAUUGGAGUAAUAGGCCUGGAGACUAAAAUUGGGCUCACCCUUGGGGUUGGGCUUUGGGGUGUAAUAAUUAAUUGGUAAUUAAUAUAUAAUUAAUUAUAAUUAAUAUAUAAUUAAUAUAUAUUUAAUUGUCAAAAGAUGGGCCUUGGGGCUCUAAUAAUUAAAUUAUUUAAUUAAUUAUUUUUCGGAUUUACUUAAUUAUUUUUUAAUUAAAUUCGAAUUUAAUUAAUUAAUUAUUUUUUUAUGAAAAGACUCAUCCUUUCAGAUGAAGUCUGAGAGUUCUUUCUGAACACAGAGCAAAGCACCCUUCUGAAGAGAUGUCUCCCAACAGUCACACCCCAUUCUCAUACCUGUUGCAAACAGGCAUCUAUCUGCUAUAUAUACAUACAUCUGCAUAGCAUUUAGAACACAGAAAUAAUAAACUUCAUCUUCUACAUUCAUAAACCUUCUUACUGAGAGAACCACACUAAAUUCGCCAGAAGUUAAAUUUUCCGGUGCUGGAAUUUUAACUUGAUCGUUGAAUCCUGGUGAAGCAGACGUCCGUAGAACUACAAGCACAGAGUAGGGACGAAAUUUCUGUUUCAAGGACAUUGCGGUACGCAAGCUUCGAUCUUCAAGUUGUCUGUUUUAUAAUUCAUAUUCUAGUUUAUAUUUUGUUAGUUUCUAUUGCAUUUAUUAUUUAUUAGCAUAUAUAAAUUAUCACAGAUUGUUGACUUAUAUCCAACAUACUUCACAGUGGCAGUGGCUUCACGAUGGUGGUGUGGCUAUUUGGGUGGAGGUGGCUGCUUUACCUACCCAAGAUCUAGGGUUCUAUUUUAGUGCUGUUAUGGAACCUCUUAUUGGGCUCGUUUUCUUGUAUUUUCUUUGUUUUAAGUUGUACUCUUACUUGGUUGUUUUGAAUUAUUUUUCAACUUUCCUAACCUUGGAUUAGUAUUUUAUUUAAUCAAAUUAGCUAUGUUUGACAAAAUAAAAAUAAAAAUAAAAUGUUUAGCGAAUCGUAUCGCCAUAGCAACCAAUAGAAAGAGCUCAAAUGCUUUAGAGAUUUGCAGCCGCACGAAGACUUUGUUUGGUUC
Molecule: long non-coding RNA, 9966 nt
Filed under: Malus domestica (apple)
Lineage: Eukaryota; Viridiplantae; Streptophyta; Magnoliopsida; Rosales; Rosaceae
Description: long non-coding RNA (MDOM_LNC000664)
Source: RNAcentral